AUAAAGAUUUUUCACUUUGGCAGUAUUUGGUUCAGGAACAAGAGGGAGAAUAAGCUUUUAUUUCCCCCUUUAUUCCCAAAUGUAGUAUUUGAUACCCGAGAAUAGUAGUUUUUGAAUUUCUGAAAUAAACUGGUAUAAGGCUGGAAUUACUAUUCCAUAUUUUCUUAGAACAAGCUUGUUCCCAGGUGGGAUAAUUAAAGUCAAAUUUCAUUUUAAUUAUGAUAUUAAAUCAUUAAUUAAUCUAAUUAAUAUAUUUACAUCAUUAUAUAUUCUUUAAACAAUAAAAUAAUUAAUUAAUUUAUUAUUUAUAAUUAAUUAUUAAUAAUUUGAUGUAUUUCUUCAUAAACUAAUUUUUAUAUUGAUUAACCAUUAAUAUUUCUAUUAAUCUAAUUAAUUUUUUUUACAAGUUAUCUAUCUAAAAUAAUUUAUUAACUAAUUAAAAAUUAAAUUAUUCUGUAUACUUAAUUAAUAUAUAUAUAUAUAUAUAGAACUAGGCUACUAUACUAUCGGUAGCACGGAGCGCUCCGUGCUACCAAGUUGUUUUCGAUGAUGCGGCUUCCAAAUCGACGAUCGGCUCCGU
This 580-nucleotide long non-coding RNA is filed under the name Ananas comosus (pineapple). RNAcentral's name for it is "long non-coding RNA (ACOM_LNC031063)". The record is from RNAcentral. Lineage: Eukaryota; Viridiplantae; Streptophyta; Magnoliopsida; Poales; Bromeliaceae.